CGGUAAGUUCACAUGUCGGUCUCGAAGGUAAUUUUCCGUUCUUCCGUGGAGCUUCGUUUCUACCCUAAAAUCUCCAAGAAGGCAACAGAUGCAGAGGGCGGGCAUCGAGGGACCAGGCCUUAUAUCUCCUGAAGGUUUAAAGAAGUUCUUUGGAAGGCAACUGAAAAGGCUUUGUAGUUUGCAACACAGGUACAUGGCCGAAAGGGCAAGUGGAACAUAACUAAAUGAUGCUCUCUGUGAACAGUUGCUGUCUCCUAGAAGUAACCACAAAUAGGUGAAAGCUGGUCAGUAGUGAUACUGAUUGAUCAUAUAUGACAUAUAGUCUCCAUUAUCUUCAUUUGUUGCAUGAAGUAAAUAAGGUCUGCCCUUUGUUUCCAUCCGAUGGACGAGUCUCAGCCGGAUGAACCUGGUGGUGAUCUAUGCCUCUCUGGACAGCCUAGAAGUGCUCAUGUCAGUGGCAGCUCAGAUGACAGAUACAAGUUUGUGUUGUAUUGAGUAAUAGAUCAUAAAAGAGGUUGAUUUUAUUCAUCAAGGAAAUGAAUAUUUAUAUAAGUUUUGAUGAAGAAUUUUUUUUUAA
Long non-coding RNA from Musa acuminata subsp. malaccensis (wild Malaysian banana), 577 nucleotides. RefSeq lists it as uncharacterized. The record is from RefSeq and is a predicted model, not a curated record. Lineage: Eukaryota; Viridiplantae; Streptophyta; Magnoliopsida; Zingiberales; Musaceae.